GACGAACGCUGGCGGCGUGCCUAAUACAUGCAAGUUGAGCGCUGAAGGUUGGUGCUUGUACCAACUGGAUGAGCAGCGAACGGGUGAGUAACGCGUGGGGAAUCUGCCUUUGAGCGGGGGACAACAUUUGGAAACGAAUGCUAAUACCGCAUAAAAACUUUAAACACAAGUUUUAAGUUUGAAAGAUGCAAUUGCAUCACUCAAAGAUGAUCCCGCGUUGUAUUAGCUAGUUGGUGAGGUAAAGGCUCACCAAGGCGAUGAUACAUAGCCGACCUGAGAGGGUGAUCGGCCACAUUGGGACUGAGACACGGCCCAAACUCCUACGGGAGGCAGCAGUAGGGAAUCUUCGGCAAUAGACGAAAGUCUGACCGAGCAACGCCGCGUGAGUGAAGAAGGUUUUCGGAUCGUAAAACUCUGUUGGUAGAGAAGAACGUUGGUGAGAGUGGAAAGCUCAUCAAGUGACGGUAACUACCCAGAAAGGGACGGCUAACUACGUG
Molecule: ribosomal RNA, 497 nt
Filed under: uncultured bacterium
Lineage: Bacteria
Description: partial 16S ribosomal RNA
Rfam family: Bacterial small subunit ribosomal RNA
Source: RNAcentral